This 441-nucleotide ribosomal RNA is filed under the name Salmonella enterica. Its description in RNAcentral is "bacterial SSU rRNA". It matches the Rfam family "Bacterial small subunit ribosomal RNA", at positions 269 to 702 of the family's 1533-position model. The record is from RNAcentral. RNAcentral also lists the same sequence under 3 other names. Lineage: Bacteria; Pseudomonadati; Pseudomonadota; Gammaproteobacteria; Enterobacterales; Enterobacteriaceae.
CAAGGCGACGAUCCCUAGCUGGUCUGAGAGGAUGACCAGCCACACUGGAACUGAGACACGGUCCAGACUCCUACGGGAGGCAGCAGUGGGGAAUAUUGCACAAUGGGCGCAAGCCUGAUGCAGCCAUGCCGCGUGUAUGAAGAAGGCCUUCGGGUUGUAAAGUACUUUCAGCGGGGAGGAAGGUGUUGUGGUUAAUAACCGCAGCAAUUGACGUUACCCGCAGAAGAAGCACCGGCUAACUCCGUGCCAGCAGCCGCGGUAAUACGGAGGGUGCAAGCGUUAAUCGGAAUUACUGGGCGUAAAGCGCACGCAGGCGGUCUGUCAAGUCGGAUGUGAAAUCCCCGGGCUCAACCUGGGAACUGCAUUCGAAACUGGCAGGCUUGAGUCUUGUAGAGGGGGGUAGAAUUCCAGGUGUAGCGGUGAAAUGCGUAGAGAUCUGGA